RNAcentral lists this ribosomal RNA (275 nucleotides) under uncultured bacterium. RNAcentral describes it as "partial 16S ribosomal RNA". It matches the Rfam family "Bacterial small subunit ribosomal RNA", at positions 399 to 691 of the family's 1533-position model. The record is from RNAcentral.
GCGUGCGUGAAGAAGGCCUUAGGGUUGUAAAGCGCUUUCGGCGGGGAAGAUGAUGACGGUACCCGCAGAAGAAGCCCCGGCUAACUCCGUGCCAGCAGCCGCGGUAAUACGGAGGGGGCUAGCGUUGUUCAGAAUUACUGGGCGUAAAGGGCGCGUAGGCGGAACGUCAAGUCAGAGGUGAAAGGCCUGGGCUCAACCUGGGAACUGCCUUUGAAACUGCCGUUCUAGAGUCCGAUAGAGGAUGGCGGAAUUCCCAGUGGAGAGGUGAAAUUCGU